AGGAUCACCAAUGCAGUCCAGGCUGACUCACCCUUCUGAAGGAUGGAGUCACAGAUGUGUGCCACCACAAGAAGCACAAGGUUUUGUUUUUUGAAGGUUGAAACAUGAGUUCAUGUUCCUGGCUACAAGGUUUGAAAGCCUAGUGCUGGCCCAGCUGGAAGGGAUGCAGGAUAUCGGUUCAAGGGGAAGACGACUCCAACUCCAGCUGCCUCUGCUAAGGCCACCCGUACCACCUCACUCUGCCAAGGCAUCUUUGUUUCUCACCAUUGUUUUUUGAGGUUUUGUGACUGUUGUAGUUCGCACAUCACAUCCCAGAGUUCACUUCUGCGCUGCAGAGCGUUCGAACAGCAUCACUCAAAAUGAAGAAUGUACUUGCUGUCACUCCAUACAUCUGAGCCUGGGUUUCUGUACAACUGUACUCGCCACCCCAUCCCUGGGUCCAUGGCUUCGCAUCACCUUGCUGUGUCACACCGGCCUCGAAGCCCCUCCUGUAGAAGCCGAGCGUUUUGAUGCUGUGUCUGUAAAACUCCUGCUUUAUAUUAUGAAGGUGUGGGAACAUGGACGAAAACCCAAUCGGGAGGGAUGCUGCCAGAUCUUACUGUUCCAUUUGUCUUAGUCCAUUAGGGCUGCUUUGACAGAUGACCAUAGAUGAAGUGAUUCCAACCACAAGCAUUUACUUCUCCUCGCUGCAGCUGCUGCAGGUCCGAGGUGAGGGGUGAGGAGGUGACAUCUGGGAAAGCCCCCAUCCCUGGCCUGUAGGAGUUCUUGUUGUGGUCUCUUACACUGGAGAGCUGGGAGGAGGUUCACCACCAUGGACAGGAACAGUUCAUUCAUUCA
This is a long non-coding RNA of Alexandromys fortis (reed vole), 837 nucleotides long. RefSeq lists it as uncharacterized. The transcript is spliced from 3 exons. Lineage: Eukaryota; Metazoa; Chordata; Mammalia; Rodentia; Cricetidae. The record is from RefSeq and is a predicted model, not a curated record.